UGAGGAAUAUUGGUCAAUGGACGAGAGUCUGAACCAGCCAAGUAGCGUGCAGGAUGACGGCCCUAUGGGUUGUAAACUGCUUUUAUGUGGGGAUAAAGUGCGUGACGUGUCAUGCAUUGCAGGUACCACAUGAAUAAGGACCGGCUAAUUCCGUGCCAGCAGCCGCGGUAAUACGGAAGGUCCGGGCGUUAUCCGGAUUUAUUGGGUUUAAAGGGAGCGUAGGCUGUCUAUUAAGCGUGUUGUGAAAUAUACCGGCACAACCGGUGGCUUGCAGCGCGAACUGGUCGACUUGAGUAUGCAGGAAGUAGGCGGAAUUCAUGGUGUAGCGGUGAAAUGCUUAGAUAUCAUGACGAACUCCGAUUGCGCAGGCAGCUUACUGUAGCAUAACUGACGCUGAUGCUCGAAAGUGCGGGUAUCAAACAGG
RNAcentral lists this ribosomal RNA (424 nucleotides) under Verrucomicrobiota bacterium. RNAcentral describes it as "Verrucomicrobia bacterium partial 16S ribosomal RNA". It matches the Rfam family "Bacterial small subunit ribosomal RNA", at positions 355 to 776 of the family's 1533-position model. The record is from RNAcentral. Lineage: Bacteria; Pseudomonadati; Verrucomicrobiota.